UGUCAACUCUUUUCCUCUCCGCCGAUGUUGCCAGACCUGCUGAGUUUUUCCAGGUACUACUGCUUUUGUUUUGGAUUUCCAGCAUCCGCAGUUUUUUUGUUUUUAUCUAAAGAGUUGCGGGUCCUAGGUGGGUAACUAUGGAGACAGGACAACUUACCUGGUCUGAUUCUGUUGGUCCUCUUCUUCAAAUAUAAGAGACAAGAAACAUAUUGGUGCAAAUAAUGAUGAGUGCCAAAAAAAAAUCAAUUUGAACAAAGCUAGAUGCAAAGCUUCCAUCUGAUCCAGGACACAGCAACCCUGAAAGAAAUGACACAUCAGCUCCAAGCCAUCGAUAAAACACUUGGUUGAUGUUAAGCCUCAUUGUUUUAUUUUACCACCCAUUCAAAGCUCAUUAAAUCACUGGUUCCUCCCUUU
Carcharodon carcharias (great white shark) is the source of this 414-nucleotide long non-coding RNA. RefSeq lists it as uncharacterized. NCBI's taxonomy places the organism in Eukaryota, Metazoa, Chordata, Chondrichthyes, Lamniformes, Lamnidae. The transcript has 3 exons. The record is from RefSeq and is a predicted model, not a curated record.